GGCGCUGAGUCGAAUGGUCUUGGUCCGAAGUCUCUACGACGAAGCGUUCUUGAGAUAUUUCACUUUGAAAUUGCAAAAACGGGGGCCGCGCCCUGACGUCAUGCGGCCAUUUGGUUACAUCAUCACGGGCUGCCUACGUCAUUGUGGCAAAGUCGUUUCUCUUCGCCAGUCUACAAGCACUAAUUUUAGUUGGUAUUUCAAGGGAAGAUGGGCGAUUCCGAACAAUCCUCUGUCCCCAGCAAUGAAGGCAGCGAUGCUGAGGCCAGUGAGGACGACCAACAGCCCACCGCCGCGUAUGGUUGGGGCAGGGAGCCCAGAUACUCUGCUGAGGAGCUGCCAUCGCGUGUAACAAAUGUGGAGGAAGAAGAUGCGUCAGCAGCUGCGUCCGACAGAAGACGAGUAGCUUGGCCACCAGAAUCUCGAUUCGUUUGGGACUCCGACUGGUGCGAGCGUGGACAAAAGUGUAUAGCCAUGCCCAGCCCGCGGGAAUGAUUUUGCUGGUAGGAUGCUGCCGUCGCUGUCGACAAGACGGCCCAAGGUUUCUUGCGUAGCGGACCUCGCAGAUUACGAGAUCGUAUCCUUGCAUUAGCCUCAGGCUGUGCUCAUCACUGCUCUUCGAGGUUAUCUCCACAUGCAGAAGCCGCCAAUGCCAGUGACAGAAGAGUCUGACAUUAGAUCUCUACGCUAUGCGGCACACAGGCAGUACACACUAUGUACACGGCAAAUUGGGCAAGCACGUUCGUUGUCGUCUUCCAGCCUGCGUUGUGAAUACCAUCAGGCAAAGAUAUCCAAAUCCUGCACCACCUCAGCCUUCUCAGGAGGCUUCCACCUGGAAUUUGGCAGGGAAACACGCUUCUCCAAGGCAGGAACAUGGAGGUUGCCAUUUGCAACCGCUACCACCUCACACAUGAGCUUGUCAACAUACUCAUAGCUCUUUCUGUCGUAUAAUUUUCUAUUUGGCCACAGUCUUCUUUAUGCUUUGAGAACUGGACUUUAUACCUUCC
Long non-coding RNA from Sycon ciliatum, 1004 nucleotides. RefSeq lists it as uncharacterized. The transcript is spliced from 2 exons. The record is from RefSeq and is a predicted model, not a curated record. Lineage: Eukaryota; Metazoa; Porifera; Calcarea; Leucosolenida; Sycettidae.